GUGGGGAAUUUUGGACAAUGGGCGCAAGCCUGAUCCAGCAAUGCCGCGUGCAGGAAGAAGGCCUUCGGGUUGUAAACUGCUUUUGUACGGAACGAAACGGUCCGGGUUAAUACCCUGGGCUAAUGACGGUACCGUAAGAAUAAGCACCGGCUAACUACGUGCCAGCAGCCGCGGUAAUACGUAGGGUGCAAGCGUUAAUCGGAAUUACUGGGCGUAAAGCGUGCGCAGGCGGUUUUGUAAGACAGGCGUGAAAUCCCCGGGCUCAACCUGGGAAUUGCGCGUGGGACUGCAAGGCUGGAGUGCGGCAGAGGGGGAUGGAAUUCCGCGUGUAGCAGUGAAAUGCGUAGAUAUGCGGAGGAACACCGAUGGCGAAGGCAAUCCCCUGGGCCUGCACUGACGCUCAUGCACGAAAGCGUGGGGAGCAAACAGGAUUAGAAACCCUUGUAGUCC
RNAcentral lists this ribosomal RNA (450 nucleotides) under uncultured bacterium. RNAcentral's name for it is "partial 16S ribosomal RNA". It matches the Rfam family "Bacterial small subunit ribosomal RNA", at positions 354 to 796 of the family's 1533-position model. The record is from RNAcentral.